GAGGGUUUAGCUCAGUGGUAGAGCUCAUGCUUAGCAUGCAUGAGGUCAUGGGCUUGAUCCCCACUACCUCUA
RNAcentral lists this transfer RNA (72 nucleotides) under Camelus bactrianus (Bactrian camel). It matches the Rfam family "tRNA". Rfam says of the family: Transfer RNA (tRNA) molecules are approximately 80 nucleotides in length. Their secondary structure includes four short double-helical elements and three loops (D, anti-codon, and T loops). Further hydrogen bonds mediate the characteristic L-shaped molecular structure. tRNAs have two regions of fundamental functional importance: the anti-codon, which is responsible for specific mRNA codon recognition, and the 3' end, to which the tRNAs corresponding amino acid is attached (by aminoacyl-tRNA synthetases). tRNAs cope with the degeneracy of the genetic code in two manners: having more than one tRNA (with a specific anti-codon) for a particular amino acid; and 'wobble' base-pairing, i.e. permitting non-standard base-pairing at the 3rd anti-codon position. Lineage: Eukaryota; Metazoa; Chordata; Mammalia; Artiodactyla; Camelidae. RNAcentral also lists the same sequence under 1 other name. The record is from Rfam by way of RNAcentral.